CAGCCGCCGCGGGAAUACGUAGGUGGCAAGCGUUGUCCGGAAUUAUUGGGCGUAAAGGGCUCGCAGGCGGUUUCUUAAGUCUGAUGUGAAAGCCCCCGGCUCAACCGGGGAGGGUCAUUGGAAACUGGGAAACUUGAGUGCAGAAGAGGAGAGUGGAAUUCCACGUGUAGCGGUGAAAUGCGUAGAGAUGUGGAGGAACACCAGUGGCGAAGGCGACUCUCUGGUCUGUAACUGACGUUGAGGAGCGAAAGCGUGGGGAGCGAACAGGAUUAGAUACCCCCGUAGUCCCUGUCUCUUAUAC
This 301-nucleotide ribosomal RNA is filed under the name uncultured bacterium. RNAcentral's name for it is "partial 16S ribosomal RNA". It matches the Rfam family "Bacterial small subunit ribosomal RNA", at positions 509 to 807 of the family's 1533-position model. The record is from RNAcentral.